CAAGGAAUUUUCGGCAAUGGGCGCAAGCCUGACCGAGCAACGCCGCGUGGUGGACGACGGCCUUCGGGUUGUAAACACCUUUUGGGUGGGACGAUUGUGACGGUACCACCCGAAUAAGCCCCGGCUAACUCCGUGCCAGCAGCCGCGGUAAGACGGAGGGGGCAAGCGUUGUCCGGACUCACUGGGCGUAAAGGGUGCGCAGGCGGUUUGGAGCGUUCGCGCUGAAAUCACGGGGCUUAACUCCGUGGCGCGUGCGAAUACGGCCAAACUGGAGGUAGAAAGAGGAUGGGGGAACUCCUGGUGUAGUGGUGAAAUGCGUAGAGAUCAGGAAGAACACCCGUGGCGUAAGCGCCCAUCUGGCUCUGACCUGACGCUGAGGCACGAAAGCGUGGGGAGCGAACCGGAUUAGAUACCCGGGUAGUCCACGCCGUAAACGAUGUCGACUCGGUGUGUGGUGGCCGUUAAGGCCGCUGCGUGCCUUAGCUCACGCGGGAAGUCGACCGCCUGGGGACUACGAGCGCAGG
This 524-nucleotide ribosomal RNA is filed under the name uncultured bacterium. Its description in RNAcentral is "bacterial SSU rRNA". It matches the Rfam family "Bacterial small subunit ribosomal RNA", at positions 355 to 892 of the family's 1533-position model. The record is from RNAcentral.